AGGACACAGUUUGGUUUAUAAGGAUUUAUAAAUGAAGUGAACAAAUUAACAGCCUAUGAGAUUUACACACUUUCCACGAUGUAUUACUAUUAUGUCCCUUUUAGGAUGAGAAAAUGAAAGCUCAAAGUGGUUCGAUAAUUUGCCUAAGGUCACACAGCUUGGAAAUGCCAGGGUCUGGUAGUUCCUCACAGCUCUUAGCAAAGUGGCUGCCAAAGAGCGGCCACAAAUAGCUGAGCGCAUAAAGAAUGACAGAAGUGCCAUCCAUCAGAGGUCUGGCUAACAAACCACAAAAGCCAUCCACAGAGGGCCGUAGGCCUUUUGGGCUGAGACUUUGGGGCAACUCCCGUCACAAGGCAGAGACUCGUUCCCACCUCUGGAUUCUGGGCUGGCCCUGCGAGCGCUCUGAUGAAUAGAAUACAGCAGAAAUGACGUUCAGGAGACGUCCCAGUUCAGGCAUCAAGCUCGGCACCAGCCACUUCCUCUUGGGAGCCCAGCCACUGUGAAGAAGUCCAAGCAGGUUAGAGGCCCCGGGGAGCGAGGCCCUGGAGGAUGAGGGACCCCAGCAGAACCGCCAGCAGAGACCAGCCGACCCACAGAGCUGGAGGAAAUAGCACACUGUUGUUUUAAACCAAUAGAUGGUAGGGUGGUUUGACGUGCAGUUAAUAGAGCCAAGAAACAGCUCUUCUGCCACCAGCAAUACCCUUGGAGCAGCACACGCUUGCCUGGAUGUUCCAAGGAGAGCCAGCCACGUCUCACCAGUGUCCCAGGCCCGGGCUGUGCUGGACAGGGAAGCAGGCCUCAGGUUCCACCCCACCGGGACCGUUCAGCCUCCUCUUUCACAGCGGUGGGGGUAGUGGCUCCCGCUCGGGGUCUGAACAAGACCCACAGAGCGUCGUUUUGAGCCCCGCCCGCCUUUAGCCUGCGUGCCACAGGAGGGACCAAAAGCUGGAGGCGCCGAGGGAAACAGGGCAGCCGAGGAAGGCGGGCAUGGUGGCUCUUUGGAGAAGGUUUCCCCUUUGGGGCACCAGCCCUGGCUCCACAGUGAGGUCAAGUGGGAGGGCAGAGUAAGCAAGCAAAGUGGGGACACUGAGGCAGAAGCCCCCCUCCCAACUCUUCCGGCUGUGUAUCAGUUUCCUACUGCUGCUGUAACAAAUUGCCCCCAACUUGGUGGCUUUAAACAACACGAGUGUAUCAUCUUACGGCGCUGGAGGUCAGAAGGCCAAGAUGGUCUCAGAGGACUAAAACCAAGCCGGGGAGGUAUGUACCGUCUGCAGGCUCUAGGGGGAGAGUCCGUGCCUUGACCGAAGCCGGAAACGGCUUCUAGAAGCUUGUGGCCACAUCACUCCAGUGGCCGUGUCUACCAUCACAUCUUCUCUAGCCCUCCUGCCUUCUCAUGAAGACCCUAUGAGGACAUCCACCCACCUCCCACUUAAUCCAUGUCAAGGAUCUCAACUUAUUCACAUCUGCAAAGCCUCUUUUGCCGUCCGUGUGAGGUAAUAUAAUCACAGGUGGCAAGAACUAGGACGUGGACAUCUGUGGGGGGGUCACUCUUCUGCCGACCGACCGUGCGGUGAGAAGUCAUUCGUUCACCCAUUCCGUGUGUAGUUUUGAACACCUACGGCCGUGUACAAAGACUGUGUUGGAUAAUGCUGGGGAUGCAGCGGCUCCCAGGGCUGUGCAUGCACUAACUCAUUCAAUCUUCACGGGAUCCCUACGAGGUGAAGGCUUUACCAGUAUGAGUCUACAAUACCACGGGGGAAACUGAGGCAAAGAAUAGUUAGACAACCUGCCUGUGGUGACAGAGCUAAUAAGUGGCAAAGAGCAUCCAUCAGGGCCCCAACCAGAAACAGAUGAAACACUCAACUCAGGAUAAUCAAGGAGGCUUUAUUUGCAAUGAACUGUUUACAAAGGUAUAGGAAGCGGUAGGGAAACCUCGAGGGGUUGUGCAGGAACCCCGGGUUAGAAGCAGGGAGCUGUCACCAGCCAGAGGAAACCUGGGAGGACAGUCACGUAAACACUGGCUCAAGAGAAGUGACCUUGGGACGAGGGGCACAGCCAGCCCGAGAUGGACCUCACGGUGCCAGGGGAAUAAAUUCACUGAGCUUCUUCUCUCUCUUCCCCUGACCUCCUGGGGGGCUCCCCACUGGCCCCACCUGACCACAGCCAGAGGGUGAGAGAGGGUAGGAUCAGCAUGGAGAGUGGACCCAGAGGGAAACAGAAAACAUCACGCCCCAGAACUGGGCGUCUAGGCUUUGAACAUCCAACAGCCCAGCCUCUCAUCUUGUGGGUCCUGGUUCAGCCUGACCACAAGGCUCCUCACCUGGUGGGCCCCAGGCUCAGGGUGACAUCAGGGCUUGAUGACCUCAUAGUAUAGACCAACAGCCUGGAAACACUGGCCUUGGUAAUCCUAUCUCUGGGAUUCUAGCCUAAGGAAUGCUAAAGCCCAUAAUACUUGGGAUUCUUUUAAUUCUCUGCUAGGGAGGGCUGACCCACUGCCCACAGCGUGCACACAGUCUUGGCCUUGGCCCCACGGAGCUCGGCCAGGAAACCCCAGGGGACAGACAUCCUUGAAGACUGAUGGCGAAAACUGAUGUAAAAGGCCACAAACUGAUCACCGCCUUGGUAUCACGCAGGCCACGUGGGGACACAGUGAGAAAUCAGCCACUGGCAAGCUGAGGAGACAGGCCUCAGAAGAAGCCAAAUCUUCCAACACCUUGGUGUCUGACAUGCAGCUCCCAGAACUGUGAGAAGUAAAUGUAAGCCCCCCCGCCAACCCAUGCCACAGUGCUCUGUUGUGGCGACCCUAGCAGACCGACACACCCACCCACCCACCCCCCCAAAGCAGAAUAGACUUGUGCCCCCUGGCACGCCAGGCUUCAAGGAAAUGUCUGCUGUGUCACCCCCCACACGUUGAGGUGGCUGUCCACUCACACGCCCACCUGCCCCGAGAGCCUGGGAGCUCCCCAAGAACCACGUCUAGGUCUCUGUUGUCUCACCCCAUCCUAAAUGGCGGGUGUCAGGAGGGGGUAACUGAGAUGACACGUGUAAAGCCCUCCGCGUGGAGCCGCGAGGGCUCAGCGCCCAGUGCGUCUGGACCCCCGGGCCACCGCUCACCUGCUCAUGCCCCCAGCUGGGCCACGACAGGUGCUCUUGAGGAACUGCUGAGCUGAGUUGAAAGACGGGCUGUGAGCAACUGAAUAUACAUGCAGACAACGGCCAAACCGAACAUAAAAACAGAACUGUGGCCCACAGCCUGCAGCACCCUGCCCAGAGAGCCAACCCACUAGCCACGGUAACCAGCCGAGGCGGCCAGUCUGCUCCAGGUCCGACUUGCAGGGAGUCAGACUGCCAUCUCUUCUGACGGUCCAGGAAGCCCUGUAACACUCCCGUAACAACUGGCCCCAAACAGCCGGGACUUGACUACUGACAAUGUCUCUGAUUUUUAUUCCAAUUUCCAACUUAGGGCUAACUCCGGAAAGCCAAAAUGCACCCUAACCAGUCACGUAGGAUGCCCCCUGCAAGCUGGCCUGCCUCCAGCUUCGCCUUUUAUCCUCUACAAAGCUUUCCUGCCCCUCCGCUGCCUUUGAGUCUCUCCUCGAUGCCGCCCGCCAGCUGCUCACUCCCCUGCGGGAGCCAGCUUGGAGUAAACAGCCUGUGCUUCUCA
Neofelis nebulosa (Clouded leopard) is the source of this 3664-nucleotide long non-coding RNA. RefSeq lists it as uncharacterized. The record is from RefSeq and is a predicted model, not a curated record. The transcript is spliced from 2 exons. NCBI's taxonomy places the organism in Eukaryota, Metazoa, Chordata, Mammalia, Carnivora, Felidae.